This 881-nucleotide ribosomal RNA is filed under the name Sphingomonas sp. SNRB13-2. RNAcentral describes it as "bacterial SSU rRNA". It matches the Rfam family "Bacterial small subunit ribosomal RNA", at positions 107 to 1020 of the family's 1533-position model. Lineage: Bacteria; Pseudomonadati; Pseudomonadota; Alphaproteobacteria; Sphingomonadales; Sphingomonadaceae. The record is from RNAcentral.
UGCGUAACGCGUGGGAAUCUGCCCUUAGGUACGGAAUAACUCAGAGAAAUUUGUGCUAAUACCGUAUGAUGUCGAAAGACCAAAGAUUUAUCGCCUAAGGAUGAGCCCGCGUAAGAUUAGCUAGUUGGUAAGGUAAAAGCUUACCAAGGCGACGAUCUUUAGCUGGUCUGAGAGGAUGAUCAGCCACACUGGGACUGAGACACGGCCCAGACUCCUACGGGAGGCAGCAGUGGGGAAUAUUGGACAAUGGGCGAAAGCCUGAUCCAGCAAUGCCGCGUGAGUGAUGAAGGCCUUAGGGUUGUAAAGCUCUUUUACCAGGGAUGAUAAUGACAGUACCUGGAGAAUAAGCUCCGGCUAACUCCGUGCCAGCAGCCGCGGUAAUACGGAGGGAGCUAGCGUUGUUCGGAAUUACUGGGCGUAAAGAGUACGUAGGCGGUUAUUCAAGUCAGAGGUGAAAGCCUGGAGCUCAACUCCAGAACUGCCUUUGAAACUAGAUAGCUAGAAUCACGGAGAGGUUAGUGGAAUUCCGAGUGUAGAGGUGAAAUUCGUAGAUAUUCGGAAGAACACCAGUGGCGAAGGCGACUAACUGGACGUGUAUUGACGCUGAGGUACGAAAGCGUGGGGGAGCAAACAGGAUUAGAUACCCUGGUAGUCCACGCCGUAAACGAUGAUAACUAGCUGUUCGGUCUCUACGAGACUGAGUGGCGCAGCUAACGCAUUAAGUUAUCCGCCUGGGGAGUACGGUCGCAAGAUUAAAACUCAAAGGAAUUGACGGGGGCCUGCACAAGCGGUGGAGCAUGUGGUUUAAUUCGAAGCAACGCGCAGAACCUUACCAGCGUUUGACAUCCUAAUCGCGGAUUCCAGAGAUGGUUUCCUUCAGU